AGUUUUAUUAAAAGAAAAAGGGGUGAAAAGAACAAAAUUUUGUCCAUCUUUGUUCAUCAUAGCUGAAAGUUUGAGAAGAGAAAGGAGUGGAGAAAGCUCUUGAGUGUUCGGUCACUUGGGGAAGAAAAUUGAAGGUAAGCUCAUGGUAGUUGGCUUCUAUCUUGAUGUUCAUGAGUUCUUCUUGAUUCUACCUUAACUCUUGAAGUAUAUUUUGGUUUUUAGUUGUGUUGUGAGCAUUUAGUCAUGAAUUAAAAUGAAGGAAAUGGUUGUUGUUUCAUGUUCUUUUGAUGAAAAAAAAUGGAAGAUAGGUGAAGUUGAGCCAAACAAAUGAGCAUGCAUGUGCCUUAGAUGUUAAAGGGAAAAAUCAGCUAACAUGUUGUACUUUAAAAUGAUGAAAUAGAGAUUAUUCUUAAGUAAAAUCAUAGAUAUGUGAUGAUUGAUUGGUGAUAUACAUGUUUAAAUAACAUGCAUGCAAGGUAUGUGUGAAAGAGUGAUUUGGUAAUAAAUCUGCUUGGGACAGCAGCAGUAACGUGACUUUGGAAAAUCACCAUAAAUUUUGGGAGAUGAAUUAGAAGCUGAAUAAAUUAUGUAAUUAAAGCUUAUUGAGUCUAGUUUCUAAUGAAAUAAACAAGAAGAUAUUUUGAAUUCUGUACAAUGAGAAAUUUGAUUCGUAAUGAAGAGUGGUCAAAUUAGUCAAAUAGUGAAACACAGGAAACUUUGAGAAAAUUCUGGUAUUGAUUGGCUAAAUAAAAAAUUCUUAAAAUUUUAUGGAUAGAAGAUAUAUGAGUCUAUUUUCAGGGAAAAUUAACGGAACUUGAUUUGGAGUUUCGUAGCUCCAGUUAUAAAUAAUUUAGUGACUGUUGCUUAGGAAGACAGCUUGCAGUGAAAUUAUGAUUAUGUGGUAAACAUUGACAAAAAUUUAUUAAUGAGUUGCUUAUUGAUUUCUUAUAAGCUUACUAUGAUCUGUAGGUGUGGUUGGCCAAAUAUUGUAAGGGGUUAAUACGUAGUUUGUAUUUGAAUAGUUAGAUUAACGUGUUAGUAAUCCAAUUGUAGGCAGUUCGUGUGUGGAUCUUGUCAGCAUAUCGUCGCAAACAGGUGUGUAACUAACACCCUCUUUCUUAGUCUGGAUCGGCAAAAGCCGAAAAUCCGAAAUGCCGAAAACCGGUAUUUUGUAGAUUUGCGAGUGUGCGAAUGCUCGUGAGGUAAAUCGAUUAAUGUUUUUGGUAAGCUGCAAUGUUUGGACUGCAAAGUGCAUGAUUUCUGUGCCCUCGAUAUUUUUGGGCUUAAUGGGCCAAAAUUGGAAUGAUGGGCCAACGGGCCCAAUUCGGUAAGAACCGUCGGUAGUGAUUCUGUUAGUACGUGAAAGGUAGGAAUAUGCAUGAAAAACCCUAAAAUAGAUAAAUUACUGAAAUACCUUUAAAAGUGGAAAAUUUACAGUUUUACCCUUAGGAGAUAAAUUACCGAAAUACCCCUAGGGUUAAAUUGACCUAAAUGCAUGUUUGACUGUUGUUAUUUACUGCAUGCCAUGUUUUUAUUAUCUGAUGCAUGGGACUGGGAUAUUGACGUAGGAAGUACUGAAAGUGGCUUGUCCACGUACUGGAGGCUUUGCCUCAAUUUACUGUUAACUGAGCAGCAAGGCUGCAACUGUGGAGUGUUGGGCUGGGUGGGUUGAGCUAUUCCUCACAUGGAGUGUAUGGCUGGUACAGGUGGAGUGUAGUGGUUGGUGGGUUGAGUAGUCUCUCCAAAUGGGCUUGCAUAUGUUUACUGAUGUUGCAUGUAUUUUGAAAUGGGCCUAUGGGCCAUACUGUUAUCUGAAUAAGGGGCUAAGGCCCAGUACCACUGUUACCCAAAUGUGCUUGCAUAUGUUUACUGAUGUUGCAUGUAUUUUGAAAUGGGCCUAUGGGCCAUACUGUUAUCUGAAUGGGCUUAGGCCCAAUGGGCUUGAGCUAACUUGAGCUUUGAAUGGGUUUUCCUUACACACUGAGUUUCCCCAAACUCACCCCUUUUAUUUUCAUCCACGCAGGAAAUCCCCAACCAUAGUGGGCUUGGAGCUGUGAGGGAAUUCGGAGUGGCCACCCGUUCUGAAAGUUUGAUUUUCUUCUGGUGAACUGGACAUCCUUUUAUUUACGUUUGAGGUUUUGGGUUUUUAAAUGUAAUAAGGCCGCUUAAUUAUUUUUGAUGGUUUUAAUAUGUAUUACUAAGAUAGGUAAUACUUAUUUUAACUGUUGAAAUUGGAUAGCUUUAGGGCGCGUUUUCAAAAACAACAGUUGAUUUCAAAAUAACACGACAACAAGCAAAGCUUCUGCAAUGAAAGUAUUUUUCCAAAAUUAAUCACUUUUCCUAAAAAUGACUUAAUCAAAUCGGUUUCCUAGAAAUAUCCAUGACGUUAAGGUGUGCCAAUGGCAGUAUGCAUGUCUAGGAUUGGAUCCGAAGGGAGCUUGGUACUUAAGCAGUCCGAUGGACUCACCACCUCUUUUCCGGUUUCCUACCUGGUGCACAGCUUCCAUUCACUUUAACCCUUAAUGAAUUAAUUUUUUGAACAUCAAGUACGAUUUUCUGGACUUAGAAUGGAAAUUUUUUUUUAACAUUUUUGAUGUGGCAUGUCGGAUCCGGCCAUAACUUCUGGGCCGGGUUUGGGGUGUUACAUUUAGUGGUAUCAGAGCCUAGAUUGCAACAACUAUGCUGUGGAAUGGGUUUACAAAAACAAAGAUUUUCGAAAACGAAAAUUUUAUAAAUAAUGUGAAAAACUCGAUUUUCAAAAUUUAGAUCUUUAGAAGGUGGCAUUUCGAAUCUCCGGCUCAAGCCUGUAAGUAUUACUCUGAACUCUUCUGAAUAUUUUUCUGACUUAUCUAUCUGUACUGAAAUCCUGCUAGGAUACUCUAGAUAGGAUGAUACUGAAAUCAUAGAAAAAUCUGAUAAGAGACUGAAACUGUAGCUAGACUUCGAUUCUGCGAAAACAAACUCUGAACUACUGUCUGAUUCAUAAAACAUCUGCAAUAAACACUAGAAUAUUAAUUGAUGCAUAAAAAUUAGUAAUCAAGAUAAUACGAUAUGAGUACAAGAGGCCGUGGACGAAGCCGAGGAAGUGCUCGAGCGAGAUCUUCGUCUUCGAGACAUAUACCGACGGUGGAUGCACCGGUACUACCUGCAACAGAGGUAGAGUCUCAUGACCGCAGUGCCGGGGAUGAUGCCCUGUCACAGGUAAUGCUUCGUGUUCUGAAAAGGGUUACCGGGGCAAGUACGGGCAAUGGAGUUCGGGGAUUCAUUUUUGAACGACUUCGGGCCAACGGAGCGGAGAUCUUUAGGGGUGUGUCUGGUAUCGCCUCGAAUGUGGCAGAAUAUUGAUUGGAGGCCACAGAACGGAUUAUGGACAACUUGGACUGCUCUGAGGAGAUUGUAAGUGGGGUAUCUGUACUAAGUCCUUUGGGUCACUCGGUUAGGGUAGACAAACUGUAUAGGGAUGUACCCUUGGAAACUCAAGGUAAGAUUUUCCCUGGAGAUCUGAUGGAGUUACCGUUCAGAGAGUUUGAUCUCAUUUUGGGAAUGGACUGGCUUGUUAAGCAUAAAGCGACUCUAGAUUGUGCUGCUAAACGAAUGGUGUUAAGGACCACAAAGGAUGAGGAGGUUAUGGUGAUAGGUCAGCGAAGGGAUUAUUUGUCCAAUGUGGUGUCAGCUUUAAGAGCCAAAAAGUGGAUUCGGAAAGGUUGUGAGGCCUAUUUGGCAUUUGUAAGUCAGUUAGAAGAGGAGGGACUGACAGUGGAUAAGGUUAGGACUGUAAAGGAGUUCCAAGAUAUUUUUCCGGAGGAGCUUCCAAGAUUGCCUCCGAACCGAGAAGUUGAGUUUGGAAAAGAUUUGUUGCCUAGAACGGCGCCCGUGUCCAUCGCACCGUAUAGGAUGGCAUCGAAGGAGUUAGUGGAAUUAAAGACUCAAAUUCAAGAGUUGCUGGAUAGGGGCUUCAUUAGGCCAAGCGUGUCUCCAUGGGGAGCACCGGUGCUAUUCAUGAAAAAGAAGGAUGGUACGAUGCAGAUGUGCAUUGAUUAUUGCCAGUUGAACAAACUGACGAUUAAGAAUAAGUAUCCACUGCCAAGGAUUGACGAUCUGUUUGACCAACUUAGAGGAGCUUUUGUAUUUUCCAAGAUCGACCUUCGAUCUGGAUAUCAUCAGUUAAGGGUCAAGGAGGCAGAUAUCCAUAAGACAGCAUUCAGGACUCGGUAUGGUCAUUACGAGUUUCUGGUUAUGCCAUUUGGACUGACGACCGCUCCUGCAGCAUUUAUGGAUCUGAUGAAUCGUGUGCUCCAACCAUUUUUUUAUCAGUUCGUAGUCGUCUUUAUUAACAAUAUCCUGGUAUAUUCUGAAACUGAAGCGAAACAUAAUGAACAUCUCCGUAUAGUGCUGCAAGUGUUAAGGGAGAAGGAACUCUUUGUGAAUUUUGGUUGAGGGAGGUAACCUUCUUAGGACAUGUGGUCUCUGCCGAAGGGAUUAAGGUGGGCCCUCGAAAGAUUGAAGCAAUUUUGGAGUGGAAGCCACCUAGGACGGUGUCAAAAAUUCGAAGCUUCCUAGGGUUGGCAGGAUACUAUAGAAGGUUUGUGGAAGGUUUUUCUGUGAUGGUAGCACUUUUGACAAAACUCAUAAGGAAAGGAGUACCAUUUGUAUGGACUAAGAAGUAGCAGGAAGCUUUUGAGAAGUUGAAGAAAGUUCUGACUGAAGCACCUGUGUUAAUUCAGUCGGAGUCUGGGAAUGAUUUUACUGUGUACAGUGACGCAUCACACGUGGGUUUGGGCUGCGUGUUAAUGUAAGAGGGUAAGGUGGUUGCAUAUACAUCACGAUAGCUUAAGCCUCAUGAGGGAAACUAUUUGACUCAUGAUUUAGAGUUGGCAGCAGUGAUAUUUGCACUUAAGAUUUGGAGACAUUACUUGUACGGAGAAAGGUGUAUUAUAUACACUGACCAUAAGAGUCUUAAGUAUUUGUUGACUCAGAAGGAGCUGAACCUUAGGCAAAGGAGAUGGAUUGAGUUGCUUAAGGAUUAUGACUGUUCGAUCGAGUAUCACCCAAGCAUGGCUAAUGUGGUAGCCGAUGCUCUAAGUCGUAGAGCUGUAUCUGAUCUGAGAGCAAUGUUUGCUCGUCUGAGUUUGUAUGAUGAUGGAAGUCUGUUGGCUGAGUUGCAAGUGAGGCCAACCUGGUUGGAUCAGAUUAAGGAAAAACAGUUGAACGAUGAGUCUUUGGUCGCUCGUUUUCAACAAGUUAAGGAAGGGGAAACUUCUGAGUUUGGGAGCCAGAAGAGACGAUGCAACAGCAAUACCCUCAUCUGUUUGGAUUAGGUAAAUUUCGAGGACGAAAUUUCUUUAAGGAGGGUAGAGUUGUAACGCCCCAAUUUUUGGGAAUUCUGUGAAUGUUGGCAAAAUUUUAUGCUUUAAUUUUGUCAUUUGUGAGUGAAAUUAUGAAAUAGGACCUAUGUGAAAAUGUUUGAAAAUGCUAUAGGCUAAAUUGAAGUGACCAAAUAAAUAGGAGUGCAAAAUAGGAGGAUUUGCAUGACAAACCUCCCAUUUUACAUGAAGUGGCCAGCCAUCAUGUUGUUGUAGACAAAAUGUGCACUUGAUAUCCAUAAUUUAUGGUACAAAUUGAUACAAAUUGAUAAUAGGUUAGGUAAAUGUUCCAUGAUAAUAGGUUAGGUAAAUAAUCCAUGAUAAUGGGUUAGGUAAAUGUUUCAUGAUAAUGGGUUAGGUAAAUGUUUCAUGAGAAGAAUUUCAUGUCUUUUGUAUUAAAGAAUUAAAUGGAUGAAAUAUGAAGUUUUAUUAAAAGAAAAAGGGGUGAAAAGAACAAAGUUUUGUCCAUCUUUGUUCAUCAUAGCUGAAAGUUAGAGAAGAGAAAGGAGAGGAGAAAGCUCUUGAGUGUUCGGUCACUUGGGGAAGAAAAUUAAAGGUAAGCUCAUGGUAGUUGGCUUCUAUCUUGAUGUUCAUGAGUUCUUCUUGAUUCUACCUUAACUCUUGAAGUAUAUUUUGGUUUUUAGUUGUGUUGUGAGCAUUUAGUCAUGAAUUAAAAUGAAGGAAAUGGUUGUUGUUUCAUGUUCUUUUGAUGAAAAAAAAUGGAAGAUAGGUGAAGUUGAGCCAAACAAAUGAGCAUGCAUGUGCCUUAGAUGUUAAAGGGAAAAAUCAGCUAACAUGUUGUGCUUUAAAAUGAUGAAAUGGAGAUUAUUCUUAAGUAAAAUCAUAGAUAUGUGAUGAUUGAUUGGUGAUAUACAUGUUUAAAUAACAUGCAUGCAAGGUAUGUGUGAAAGAGUGAUUUGGUAAUAAAUCUGCUUGGGAUAGCAGCAGUAACUUGAAUUUUGAAAAUCACCAUAAAUUGUGGGAGAUGAAUUAGAAGCUGAAUAAAUUAUGUAAUUAAAGCUUAUUGAGUCUAGUUUCUAAUGAAAUAAACAAGAACAUAUUUUGAAUUCUGUACAAUUAUAAAUUUGAUUCGUAAUGAAGAGUGGUCAGAUUAGUCAAACAGUGAAACAUGGGAAACUUUGAUAAAAAUCUGGUAUUGAUUGGCUAAAUCAAAAAUUCUGAAAAUUUUAUGGAUAGAAGAUAUAUGAGUAUAUUUUCAGGAAAAAUUAACGGAACUUGAUUUGGAGUUUCGUAGCUCCAGUUAUAAAUAAUUUAGUGACUGUUGCUCAGGAAGACAGCUUGCAGUGAAAUUAUGAUUAUGUGGUAAACAUUGACAAAAAUUUAUUAAUGAGUUGCUUAUUGAUUUCUUAUAAGCUUACUAUGAUCUGUAGGUGUGGUUGGCCAAAUAUUAUAAGGGGUUAAUACGUAGUUUGUAUUUGAAUAGUUAGAUUAACGUGUUAGUAAUCCAAUUGAAGGCAGUUCGUGUGUGGAUCUCGUCAGCAUAUCGUCGCAAACAGGUGUGUAACUAACACCCUCUUUCUUAGUCUGGAUCGGCAAAAGCCGAAAAGCUAAAAUGCCGAAAACCGGUAUUUUGUAGAUUUGCGAGUGUGCGAAUGCUCGUGAGGUAAAUCGAUUAAUGUUUUUGGUAAGCUGCAAUGUUUGGACUGCAAAGUGCAUGAUUUCUGUGCCCUCGAUAUUUUUGGGCUUAAUGGGCCAAAAUUGGAAUGAUGGGCCAACGGGCCCAAUUCGGUAAGAACCGUCGGUAGUGAUUCUGUUAGUACGUGAAAGGUAGGAAUAUGCAUGAAAAACCCUAAAAUAGAUAAAUUACUGAAAUACCUUUAAAAGUGGAAAAUUUAUAGUUUUACCCCUAGGAGAUAAAUUACCGAAAUACCCCUAGGGUUAAAUUGACCUAAAUGCAUGUUUGACUGUUGUUAUUUACUGCAUGCCAUGUUGUUAUUAUCUGAUGCAUGGGACUGGGAUAUUGACGUAGGAAGUACUAAAAGUGGCUUGUCCACGUACUGGAGGCUUUGCCUCAAUUUACUGUUAGCUGAGCAGCAAGGCUGCAACUGUAGAGUGUUGGGCUGGGUGGGUUGAGCUAUUCCUCACAUGGAGUGUAUGGCUGGUACGGGUGGAGUGUAGUGGUUGGUGGGUUGAGUAGUCUCCCCAAAUGGGCUUGCAUAUGUUUACUGAUGUUGCAUGUAUUUUGAAAUGGGCCUAUGGGCCAUACUGUUAUUUGAAUAAGGGGCUAAGGCCCAGUUUAUUGUAAUCUGAAAAAGGCUCUGGCCCAGUACCACUGUUACCCAAAUGGGCUUGCAUAUGUUUACUGAUGUUGCAUGUAUUUUGAAAUGGGCCUAUGAGCCAUACUGUUAUCUGAAUAAGGGGCUAAGGCCCGGUUUAUUGUAAUCUGAAAAGGGCUCUGGCCCAGUACCACUGUUACCUGAAUGGGCUUAGGCCUAAUGGGAUUGAGCUAACUUGGGCUUUGAAUGGGUUUUCCUUAUACACUGAGUUUCCCCAAACUCACCCCUUUUGUUUUCAUCCACGCAGGAAAUCCCCAACCAUAGUGGGCUUGGAGCUGUGAGGGAAUUCGGAGUGGCCACCCGUUCUGAAAGUUUGAUUUUCUUCUGGUGAACUUGACAUCCUUUUAUUUACGUUUGAAGUUUUGGGUUUUUAAAUGUAAUAAGGCCGCUUAAUUAUUUUUGAUGGUUUUAAUAUGUAUUACUAAGAUAGGUAAUACUUAUUUUAACUGUUGAAAUUGGAUAGCUUUAGGGCGCGUUUUCAAAAACAACAGUUGAUUUCAAAAUAACACGACAACAAGCAAAGCUUCCGCAAUGAAAGUAUUUUUCCAAAAUUAAUCACUUUUCCUAAAAAUGACUUAAUCAAAUCGGUUUCCUAGAAAUAUCCAUGACGUUAAGGUGUGGCAAUGGUGGUAUGCAUGUCUAGGAUUUGUUCCGAAGGGAGCUUGGUACUUAAGCAGUCCGAUGGACUCACCACCUCUUUUCCGGUUUCCUACCUGGUGCACAGCUUCCAUUCACUUUAACCCUUAAUGAAUUAAUCUUUUGAACAUCAAGUACGAUUUUCUGGACUUAGAAUGGAAAUUUUUUUUUUAACAUUUUUGAUGUGGCAUGUCGGAUCCGACCAUAACUUCUGGGCCGGAUUUGGGGUGCUACAUAUACUACACCGAAUUAAUAUUGGUAAUUAGGCUACUUAAUGGAUAAUUACGAUACUUUCCCAUAUAUCUGUUCCAUAUAUAUAGCUUUCUAAUAUAUCUUCC
Molecule: long non-coding RNA, 8634 nt
Filed under: Gossypium barbadense (sea-island cotton)
Lineage: Eukaryota; Viridiplantae; Streptophyta; Magnoliopsida; Malvales; Malvaceae
Description: long non-coding RNA (GBAR_LNC000317)
Source: RNAcentral